CAGUCAUCAUAUGUAGCAGAUAAGCGGGAAUUGCACCAUUAGUAAAAUAUAUAUAUAUAUACUUUACGAAAUUUUCAAACAUGGGUGAUUGUCAGGAGGAGAAGGGUUGGAAAGAUGAUUAUUGCGGGCAGGAUGACAGAAUAGAGUUGGACGAACCAACUCAGUCCUCCCCAUCUGGUUGCGCAUGUUCCAGGACAGAAAGGGGCAUUGGAAAACCAGGCGAUGGUUGGCUUAAAUUUUUGAUUGAUUGGAUGAGUGAUGGAAGAAAGAAAUAAAGAUGGAGAUUCUUGGCCAAAGAUCUGGACUCAGCUUUGCUAUCCGUCUUUCCUGCUUCUGAUCUACAUUGUAUAGAGUUAUCAUCUGUCGUCCCAACCAAACCAAAGUAUUCAAAGUGGAAUCAUCAUGUCGUGGUAAAUCUAAGAGGCCUUGUCAGUCACGCGUUUUGUAUUAUCUCACUCGAACUGGGAAGAAGUUUUCUUCUUCUUUUAUUUAAGGAAAUAUCAGCUUUAGACAAGGGGACAUCAGUGGAGUGGUGGAGGGGGGGGGGUGCUUGGCGCUCUCCAUUAUUCACCGUUUCCACCCUCUAUAAAUAAAAGUCUCUAUCCUUUCGUUUACCGUUUCUUUAGGAUAUAUAGAAAUGUAAUUUCCAUCAACUUGUUUUUUUUUUCUUUCUUUUUCAAUUGAUUUUUAUUUGAUUGAAAUCGCCGUUUUGCUGUCUUUACUACUUAUUGUAUAAUACUUUCCUUGAAAAUUCCGUUGAUUCCGUGAACUACUCAAAACCAUCAGAAUUGUCUAAUUUCAUUAUUUCGAUAUUGGUGACUAUAGGCUAUAGUCGGCAGCCAAAUGGCGUAUUUGGUGCCGCAUAUACGGUACUAAAGACUAAUGCAAUGCAGGUAAUUUUGAAAAAAAAAUAACUUGACUUUUCUUUUUUUUUAAUGAUCUGUAAUACAUAUAAUAGUAAAGGGAAUUUUUUGGAUAAGCAGUAUGUAUACAUGAUGAUGUCACGAGUAUCUCUUUCAAACGUUUGAAUUUCAUCAUUCGAUACUAUUUUAACAGCGAAACCCACAGUCAGAUAUGAGAACAUCCACACAAUAUUGGCAACUCCCUCCGUUCAGUCAAUUUAUCUUAAAGUUUGUUAUGAAAUGUCACUGAAUUGUAUGUAUUAUUUUGAACAUGUACUUCUACUGAUACUUAAUUAUUUUGUUGAACGGAAAUAAAGAAAUCUAAA
Long non-coding RNA from Lytechinus variegatus (green sea urchin), 1228 nucleotides. RefSeq lists it as uncharacterized. Lineage: Eukaryota; Metazoa; Echinodermata; Echinoidea; Temnopleuroida; Toxopneustidae. The record is from RefSeq and is a predicted model, not a curated record. The transcript is spliced from 3 exons.